CAUGGCUCAGAUUGAACGCAGGGGGCAGGCCUAACACAUGCAAGUCGAACGGUAGCACAGAGGAGCUUGCUCCUUGGGUGACGAGUGGCGGACGGGUGAGUAAUGUCUGGGAAACUGCCCGGUGGAGGGGGAUAACUACUGGAAACGGUAGCUAAUACCGCAUAACGUCGCAAGACCAAAGAGGGGGACCUUCGGGCCUCUUGCCAUCGGAUGUGCCCAGAUGGGAUUAGCUAGUAGGUGGGGUAACGGCUCACCUAGGCGACGAUCCCUAGCUGGUCUGAGAGGAUGACCAGCCACACUGGAACUGAGACACGGUCCAGACUCCUACGGGAGGCAGCAGUGGGGAAUAUUGCACAAUGGGCGCAAGCCUGAUGCAGCCAUGCCGCGUGUAUGAAGAAGGCCUUCGGGUUGUAA
This 414-nucleotide ribosomal RNA is filed under the name bacterium cr100. RNAcentral's name for it is "bacterial SSU rRNA". It matches the Rfam family "Bacterial small subunit ribosomal RNA", at positions 18 to 428 of the family's 1533-position model. The record is from RNAcentral.